CAAUAGCGUAUAUUAAAGUUGUUGCAGUUAAAAAGCUCGUAGUUGGAUUUCUGGUGGGAGCGAUCGGUCUGGCGCUUAGCGCGAGUACUUGCAUCGUCUCCGGCCAUCCUUGGGGAGAGUCUGUCUGGCAUUAAGUUGUCGGGCAGAGGAUCCUCAUCGUUUACUGUGAAAAAAUUAGAGUGUUCAAAGCAGGCUUAUGCCGUUGAAUAUAUUAGCAUGGAAUAAUAAGAUAGGACUUUGGUACUAUUUUGUUGGUUUGCGCACCAAAGUAAUGAUUAAUAGGGACGGUUGGGGGUAUUCGUAUUCCGUUGUCAGAGGUGAAAUUCUUGGAUUUACGGAAGACGAACUACUGCGAAAGCAUUUACCAAGGAUGUUUUCAUUAA
RNAcentral lists this ribosomal RNA (383 nucleotides) under uncultured eukaryote. Its description in RNAcentral is "partial 18S ribosomal RNA". It matches the Rfam family "Eukaryotic small subunit ribosomal RNA", at positions 592 to 976 of the family's 1831-position model. The record is from RNAcentral.